GACGAACGCUGGCGGCGUGCUUAACACAUGCAAGUCGAACGGAAAGGCCCUGCUUUUGUGGGGUGCUCGAGUGGCGAACGGGUGAGUAACACGUGAGUAACCUGCCCUUGACUUUGGGAUAACUUCAGGAAACUGGGGCUAAUACCGGAUAGGAGCUCCUGCUGCAUGGUGGGGGUUGGAAAGUUUCGGCGGUUGGGGAUGGACUCGCGGCUUAUCAGCUUGUUGGUGGGGUAGUGGCUUACCAAGGCUUUGACGGGUAGCCGGCCUGAGAGGGUGACCGGCCACAUUGGGACUGAGAUACGGCCCGGACUCCUACGGGAGGCAGCAGUGGGGAAUAUUGCACAAUGGGCGGAAGCCUGAUGCAGCAACGCCGCGUGCGGGAUGACGGCCUUCGGGUUGUAAACCGCUUUCGCCUGUGACGAAGCGUGAGUGACGGUAAUGGGUAAAGAAGCACCGGCUAACUACGU
This 467-nucleotide ribosomal RNA is filed under the name uncultured bacterium. RNAcentral describes it as "partial 16S ribosomal RNA". It matches the Rfam family "Bacterial small subunit ribosomal RNA", at positions 28 to 506 of the family's 1533-position model. The record is from RNAcentral.